AGUCUUAUAUUCAUUUAUGAUAUAAAAUUGCAAAUUUUAAGGUGUAAUAAUUACUAAGGCUU
This 62-nucleotide transfer RNA is filed under the name Appias lyncida. RNAcentral's name for it is "tRNA-Cys". The record is from RNAcentral. Lineage: Eukaryota; Metazoa; Arthropoda; Insecta; Lepidoptera; Pieridae.